This 507-nucleotide ribosomal RNA is filed under the name Pararhagadochir trachelia. RNAcentral's name for it is "eukaryotic LSU rRNA". It matches the Rfam family "Eukaryotic large subunit ribosomal RNA", at positions 668 to 1138 of the family's 3401-position model. The record is from RNAcentral. Lineage: Eukaryota; Metazoa; Arthropoda; Insecta; Embioptera; Scelembiidae.
AAGGAGUCUAACAUGUGCGCGAGUCAUUGGGUUCGUCAACGAAACCCAGAGGCGCAGUGAAAGUGAAGGCUACUCUAAGGUAGCAGAGGGAGGAUGGUACCGGCAUAGUCCGGGGCUCGCACUCCCGGGGCGUUUCACCCUCAUUGCGAGGAGAGACGCACCUAGAGCGUACACGUUGGGACCCGAAAGAUGGUGAACUAUGCCUGGCCAGGACGAAGUCAGGGGAAACCCUGAUGGAGGUCCGUAGCGAUUCUGACGUGCAAAUCGAUCGUCAGAGCUGGGUAUAGGGGCGAAAGACUAAUCGAAUCAUCUAGUAGCUGGUUCCCUCCGAAGUUUCCCUCAGGAUAGCUGGUACUCGGAGGAACGAGUCUCAUAUGGUAAAGCGAAUGAUUAGAGGCCUUGGGGCCGAAACGACCUCAACCUAUUCUCAAACUUUAAAUGGGUGAGAUCUCCGGCUUGCUCAAUAUGAAGCCGGGGAUGGAUCAGAGUGCCAAGUGGGCCACUUUU